This 490-nucleotide ribosomal RNA is filed under the name uncultured bacterium. Its description in RNAcentral is "partial 16S ribosomal RNA". It matches the Rfam family "Bacterial small subunit ribosomal RNA", at positions 30 to 507 of the family's 1533-position model. The record is from RNAcentral.
AUUGAACGCUGGCGGCAGGCCUAACACAUGCAAGUCGAACGGUAACAGGAAGCAGCUUGCUGCUUUGCUGACGAGUGGCGGACGGGUGAGUAAUGUCUGGGAAACUGCCCGAUGGAGGGGGAUAACUACUGGAAACGGUAGCUAAUACCGCAUAACGUCGCAAGACCAAAGAGGGGGACCUUAGGGCCUCUUGCCAUCGGAUGUGCCCAGAUGGGAAUAGAUAGUAGGUGGGGUAACCGCUCACCUAGGCGACGAUCCCUAGCUGGUCUGAGAGGAUGACCAGCCACACUGGAACGGAGACACGGUCCAGACUCCUACGGGAGGCAGCAGUGGGGAAUAUUGCACAAUGGGCGCAAGCCUGAUGCAGCCAUGCCGCGUGUAUGAAGAAGGCCUUCGGGUUGUAAAGUACUUUCAGCGGGGAGGAAGGGAGUAAAGUUAAUACCUUUGCUCAUUGACGUUACCCGCAGAAGAAGCACCGGCUAACUCCGUG